Molecule: ribosomal RNA, 253 nt
Filed under: uncultured bacterium
Lineage: Bacteria
Description: partial 16S ribosomal RNA
Rfam family: Bacterial small subunit ribosomal RNA
Source: RNAcentral
UACGGGGGGAGCAAGCGUUGUUCGGAUUUACUGGGCGUAAAGGGCGCGUAGGCGGUAGCACAAGUCAGUUGUGAAAUCUCCGGGCUUAACUCGGAAAGGUCAACUGAUACUGUGCGACUAGAGUGCAGAAGGGGCAACUGGAAUUCUCGGUGUAGCGGUGAAAUGCGUAGAUAUCGAGAGGAACGCCUGCGGCGAAGGCGGGUUGCUGGGCUGACACUGACGCUGAGGCGCGAAAGCCAGGGGAGCGAACGGG